UAAACUCAAAGCGGUCUCACGCUCACUCUCUCAGAUUGACAACGCAAAAUCACAAAUCUCUUUCAGUCUCGCCAUAUCUUCACUUUCUCUGCCACCAUCUUCGGGUGUGUUUUUUAUUAUUUAUGUUUGAUUUUGUUUCAAGUUAUGUUUGAUUUUUGUUUUGGUUUAUCCCAAACAAAGAUCUUUCAUUGUCCUUGUUAUCCUUCUAUCCAUUUUAUAAUGAAAUGAAGUGUAAUUUGGUUGAUAAUUUGAAUUAUAUAAUUUAAUUUAGAACAUCGAUAUUUCAACUAUAUGAUGAUAUGUCAUGCUAUUUGGUUAGAUAAUUGUCAUGUUUUAUGUAACGCCCUAGUUAUUUAUUUAAUUAAUUUUAUACUAUGUGGAGCAUAUAUAUAUAUUAUUAUAUAUGAUGUUGGUGUUUUAUGUGGAGUAUAUGCAUGUAUUUAUAUAUAUGUGAUUUUUGGGUGAUUUAUAUGGUGUAUCAUUUUAUUAUAUGGUUUAUUUAAUAAUAAUUAGAAUAAGUAUGAAAUAUUAGUUAUUUUGGAGUUAGGGGAGUUAUUUAAUAUUUAUUAAAAUUAAUGGGGAGUUAAUGGAAAUAUUAGGGAGUUAAGUUAGAGGGAAGUUGGGAAAUAGAUGUCAGAAGCAGUUUACGUGAAACCAAGCCAAGGGAGAGAAAACCAGGAACAAGAGAGGAGAACCAAGAGUUGAUCAUUGCUGUGCAUUUCUUCUUCAAUUUCUAAGGUAAGGGUGAGGUUUACUUCAAUAGUAUAGAUUUUAAAGUCUGAUUUGAGUUUAACAGGUUUUUGGAGUGAAAUUGAGGAAUUGGGUUUUAAUUGAAUUUAUGGUUUUUGGAGUAGAUAUUGCUGUUCUGAAGUUAGAAUUUGGUUUUGGUUGCAUAGAAACAUUCAUUUCUCAUCUGUAAACUGAUUUGGGGAGUGAUUGGAAGGAAAAUGGGAUUUUUGGGAAAAACCAGUUUUCUGCCCGUACAUAAGUUCAUCGCUCGCCUCGCGAGUAGCUGUGCUCGCCAUGGCGAGUGAGCAACUUCAUCGCUCGCCUCGCGAGCAGUCCAACUCGCCAUGGCGAGUAAGCCCAGAUAAAAGUUGAUUUUUGAAAAGUUGUUAUAAGAUGUUUUGGGAAUGGUUUAAGGUACCUAGAUGAUAAUAAAGAUGAAUGGUGGAAGUUUUAGGUUAAAAAGAUGAAUAGGGAGCUUAGAAUUGGAGUUUGAGUGAGAAAAUAGCAUUUUUUCCCGAGAGCACCUAAUUUUCACUCGCCUCGAGUUCGCCUUGAACUCGCCAUGGCGAGCUAGUGUUUUUGUGAACUCGCCAUGGCGAGUAGAUGUGCUCGCGAGGCGAGCUACUCAGUUCCUGAAUGUUGAAUUUCGUGCUUGAAUGGUAGUACCUUAAUGUUGUUGUGUUGAGCAUAGUUUCAUGUAAUUAUGCAUUAUUGUGGUUGUUUUGAUUGCUGGAUUGAUGAUUGCUGAUGAUGAAUGAAAUGUAUGCAAAGUAUCGAAUCAUACAUGUUGUUUAAGUUGAGUCACAUGGAGUUGCAUUGCAUGGUCAGUUGUAUGUAGAUAUACACAAGUAGGUCCAUUGCAUAUGCAUAAAACAGCGGUGAGGGCUUCGGUCCUGGAGUACUAGUUGCUCAACAGCGGUGAGGGCUUCGGCCCUGAUGAAUGCUUUAACCAUUCAAAAGCGGUGAGGGCCUCGGUCCUGAUUGGUACCACAUGCAUUAUUGCAUUUCAUUUAAGAAGUCUAAGAUGGUGUCUUAGCAGUGGUCAUGUCAUUUGCAUGAGUCUUAGUGGUUAUUCAGUUGUUAUCUGAUAAAAUGGUUCUGGUGUUGAAUAUGUGAUAUAUAUAUAUAUAUAUAUAUAUAUUAUACUCAUUGUGAUUAUGGUGUGUUGUUGAUGUUGUUGUUGCUUGUGGCUUAUACCUAUAUAUGUCUACAAGAUAAUGUGUUGUUGCUUAGGGUGUUAGAUUCAAUUGAUGAUUUUUAAUAUCUAUAUUUAUUGUUGUGAAUCUCACCCCUUCUGCUUGAAAACGUUGCCCUUCCUAUGGGUAACUUGCAGGUGAUCCUGAGUAGUUGGUGGUGGCUCAAAGUCGUGUCUAGGGCUCUGAUACGUGGGAUGGGAUUUAUCUUUAUUGUUAUUGUUGCUUUUCCUUUCCAUGUAUCAAAUUUUGGCACUUGUGGUGUGGAGCCUUUUAUUGUCUUUUGAACAAUGUUGAUGAAUUAUGCUAAGGCCUUUAAUGCCGUAGGAUGUUGUUGGAUUGAAAACUAUUCCGCUGCUAUGUUUUCAUAUUUUAUCAAGUGGAUUGAUUAAAUAGUUCUAUUUUCUAUUUAAGAAUUUUGAAUUUGCAAUGUAGCAUGCCCGUUUGGUGAAAU
This 2376-nucleotide long non-coding RNA is filed under the name Medicago truncatula (barrel medic). RNAcentral's name for it is "long non-coding RNA (MTRU_LNC005781)". Lineage: Eukaryota; Viridiplantae; Streptophyta; Magnoliopsida; Fabales; Fabaceae. The record is from RNAcentral.